CCUACGGGAGGCUGCAGUGAGGAAUAUUGGUCAAUGGACGAGAGUCUGAACCAGCCAAGUAGCGUGAAGGAUGACUGCCCUAUGGGUUGUAAACUUCUUUUAUAUGGGAAUAAAAUGUUCCACGUGUGGGAUUUUGUAUGUACCAUAUGAAUAAGGAUCGGCUAACUCCGUGCCAGCAGCCGCGGUAAUACGGAGGAUCCGAGCGUUAUCCGGAUUUAUUGGGUUUAAAGGGAGCGUAGGUGAAUUGUUAAGUCAGUUGUGAAAGUUUGCGGCUCAACCGUAAAAUUGCAGUUGAAACUGGCAGUCUUGAGUACAGUAGAGGUGGGCGGAAUUCGUGGUGUAGCGGUGAAAUGCUUAGAUAUCACGAAGAACUCCGAUUGCGAAGGCAGUUCACUGGACUGCAACUGACACUGAGGCUCGAAAGUGUGGGUAUCAAACAGGAUUAGAUACCCUUGUAGUC
This 460-nucleotide ribosomal RNA is filed under the name uncultured bacterium. RNAcentral describes it as "partial 16S ribosomal RNA". It matches the Rfam family "Bacterial small subunit ribosomal RNA", at positions 338 to 795 of the family's 1533-position model. The record is from RNAcentral.